This 616-nucleotide ribosomal RNA is filed under the name Enterobacter cloacae. Its description in RNAcentral is "bacterial SSU rRNA". It matches the Rfam family "Bacterial small subunit ribosomal RNA", at positions 555 to 1172 of the family's 1533-position model. Lineage: Bacteria; Pseudomonadati; Pseudomonadota; Gammaproteobacteria; Enterobacterales; Enterobacteriaceae. The record is from RNAcentral.
UGGGCGUAAGCGCACGCAGGCGGUCUGUCAAGUCGGAUGUGAAAUCCCCGGGCUCAACCUGGGAACUGCAUUCGAAACUGGCAGGCUAGAGUCUUGUAGAGGGGGGUAGAAUUCCAGGUGUAGCGGUGAAAUGCGUAGAGAUCUGGAGGAAUACCGGUGGCGAAGGCGGCCCCCUGGACAAAGACUGACGCUCAGGUGCGAAAGCGUGGGGAGCAAACAGGAUUAGAUACCCUGGUAGUCCACGCCGUAAACGAUGUCGACUUGGAGGUUGUGCCCUUGAGGCGUGGCUUCCGGAGCUAACGCGUUAAGUCGACCGCCUGGGGAGUACGGCCGCAAGGUUAAAACUCAAAUGAAUUGACGGGGGCCCGCACAAGCGGUGGAGCAUGUGGUUUAAUUCGAUGCAACGCGAAGAACCUUACCUACUCUUGACAUCCAGAGAACUUAGCAGAGAUGCUUUGGUGCCUUCGGGAACUCUGAGACAGGUGCUGCAUGGCUGUCGUCAGCUCGUGUUGUGAAAUGUUGGGUUAAGUCCCGCAACGAGCGCAACCCUUAUCCUUUGUUGCCAGCGGUUAGGCCGGGAACUCAAAGGAGACUGCCAGUGAUAAACUGGAGGAAG